RNAcentral lists this transfer-messenger RNA (109 nucleotides) under Rhodobiaceae bacterium. Its description in RNAcentral is "partial transfer-messenger RNA". It matches the Rfam family "Alphaproteobacteria transfer-messenger RNA", at positions 1 to 106 of the family's 355-position model. Rfam says of the family: Bacterial tmRNA, also known as 10Sa RNA or SsrA, is named for its dual tRNA and mRNA-like properties. Its role is to liberate the mRNA from a stalled ribosome. Lineage: Bacteria; Pseudomonadati; Pseudomonadota; Alphaproteobacteria; Hyphomicrobiales; Rhodobiaceae. The record is from RNAcentral.
CGUCUUUUCGUGGCCCCAAUUGCACACUAUAUUGAUUUUUGCCGGCUUCGGUCGGCUAUGGCGAUACAGGAUAGUCGAAAUAAACCUAUCGGACCCGGGGGCGGUACCC